RNAcentral lists this ribosomal RNA (965 nucleotides) under Cortinarius pholideus. RNAcentral describes it as "eukaryotic LSU rRNA". It matches the Rfam family "Eukaryotic large subunit ribosomal RNA", at positions 1 to 940 of the family's 3401-position model. Lineage: Eukaryota; Fungi; Basidiomycota; Agaricomycetes; Agaricales; Cortinariaceae. The record is from RNAcentral.
UGUGACCUCAAAUCAGGUAGGACUACCCGCUGAACUUAAGCAUAUCAAUAAGCGGAGGAAAAGAAACUAACAAGGAUUCCCCUAGUAACUGCGAGUGAAGCGGGAAAAGCUCAAAUUUAAAAUCUGGCAGUUUUUUGGCUGUCCGAGUUGUAAUCUAGAGAAGUGUUAUCCGCGCUGGACCGUGUACAAGUCUCCUGGAAUGGAGCAUCAUAGAGGGUGAGAAUCCCGUCUUUGACAUGGACUGCCAGGGCUUUUGUGAUGCGCUCUCAAAGAGUCGAGUUGUUUGGGAAUGCAGCUCAAAAUGGGUGGUAAAUUCCAUCUAAAGCUAAAUAUUGGCGAGAGACCGAUAGCGAACAAGUACCGUGAGGGAAAGAUGAAAAGAACUUUGGAAAGAGAGUUAAACAGUACGUGAAAUUGCUGAAAGGGAAACGCUUGAAGUCAGUCGCGUCGUCCAGGGAUCAACCUUGCUUUUGCUUGGUGCACUUCCUGGUUUGACGGGUCAGCAUCAAUUUUGACCAUUGGAAAAAGGUCGAGGGAAUGUGGCAUCUUUGGAUGUGUUUAUAGCCCUUGGUCGCAUACAAUGGUUUGGGAUUGAGGAACUCAGCACGCCGCAAGGCCGGGUUUUAAACCACGUACGUGCUUAGGAUGCUGACAUAUAUAAUGGCUUUAAUCGACCCGUCUUGAAACACGGACCAAGGAGUCUAACAUGCCUGCGAGUGUUUGGGUGAAAAACCCGAGCGCGUAAUGAAAGUGAAAAGUUGAGAUCCCUGUCGUGGGGAGCAUCGACGCCCGGACCAGACCUUUUGUGACGGUUCCGCGGUGGAGCAUGUAUGUUGGGACCCGAAAGAUGGUGAACUAUGCCUGAAUAGGGUGAAUCCAGAGGAAACUCUGGUGGAGGCUCGUAGCGAUUCUGACGUGCAAAUCGAUCGUCAAAUUUGGGUAUAGGGGCGAAAGACUAAUCGAAC